RNAcentral lists this ribosomal RNA (576 nucleotides) under uncultured Actinomycetes bacterium. Its description in RNAcentral is "bacterial SSU rRNA". It matches the Rfam family "Bacterial small subunit ribosomal RNA", at positions 790 to 1368 of the family's 1533-position model. Lineage: Bacteria; Bacillati; Actinomycetota; Actinomycetes. The record is from RNAcentral.
GUAGUCCACGCCCUAAACGGUGAUGUGCUAGGUGUAGGAGGAGUUCCACGCCGUCUGUGCCGCAGCUCGGCAUUAAGCACCCCGCCGGGGGAGUACGGCCGCAAAGUUAAAACUCAAAGGAAUUGACGGGGGCCCGCACAAGCGGGGAAGAUUGUGGUUUAUUUCAACGCACCGCGAAAAACCUUACCAAGGUUUGACUUGCAGAAAAAUCCGGCAAAUAUGUCGGGGCCGCAAGGGCUCUGCACAGGUGGUGCAUGGUUGUCGUCAGCUCGUGUCGUGAGAUGUUGGGUUAAGUCCCGCAACGAGCGCAACCCUCGUCCUAUGUUGCCUGGGGUCAUGCCGGGGACUCAUAGGAGACUGCCGGGGGAACUCCGAAGAAGGGGGGAUGACGUCAAAUCAUCAUGCCCCUUAUGUCUUGGGCUGCACACAUGCUACAAUGGCCGGUACAAAGGGCUGCUAAACCGCGAGGUGGAGAGAAUCCCAAAAAGCCGGUCUCAGUUCGGAUUGGGGUCUGCAACUCGACCCUCUGAAGUCGGAGUCGCUAGUAAUCGCAGAUCAGCAACGCUGCGGUGAAUA